Molecule: long non-coding RNA, 632 nt
Organism: Cannabis sativa
Lineage: Eukaryota; Viridiplantae; Streptophyta; Magnoliopsida; Rosales; Cannabaceae
Exons: 3
Source: RefSeq, a predicted model, not a curated record
CUAACUCCUGAAUUUCAGGUACGCUAAUUAUAUUAACACUAAGAUAAACUCUUAAAUACAAGUACAUGUAUCUAAUGUAUUUUUUUGGCAUUGUAGGAAUUGAGUAAGGUGCAACGUGAACGUUCCUCGAAAAUUCAAUCCAGACAUCAAAGUGGCCGGAGUGGAAUGGUGAACGUACGGGAAGCUGUGGUAAGUAAUGCUUAAAAUUUAAUGUGCUAUAAUGUGCUAUAAAAUUUAAUUGGUACUCAUUUAAUUGUUAUAACGUGAUGUAGAAAAAGGAUCUCGAAGUCGCAGAUCCCCCCGCCACCGUGUUUGGAUUAAAUCUCGCACCAAGAGUCGAAAACUUGUCACUGAUUACGACAAGGAAAUUGCAGAGAAGAUAGCUCAAUUAGAGGAGAAGCUUAGUCAGGGACAAAUUCAGGUCCAGGGCAAAAACGAUAUCCUGACGCAGGCGCUCGGGACACCAGAGCAUCCUGGACGUGUCAGGGCUGCUGGGUUCCUAACCAGGGCAUCUCAACUGUUCGGCAGGAAGAAAAGGGAAGUGUCUGAUGUUGUGGCUCGACAAGCGAAGGAGAUUGAAAAAUUAAAAGCCGAAGUCCAAUCCCUUAAGCAGAAGACAAACGCUGCCGAAC